RNAcentral lists this ribosomal RNA (253 nucleotides) under uncultured bacterium. RNAcentral describes it as "partial 16S ribosomal RNA". It matches the Rfam family "Bacterial small subunit ribosomal RNA", at positions 524 to 776 of the family's 1533-position model. The record is from RNAcentral.
GACGUAGGGGACGAGCGUUGUCCGGAUUCAUUGGGCGUAAAGCGCGCGUAGGCGGUUCGGUAAGUCGGGUGUGAAAACACGAGGCUCAACCUCGUGCGUGCAUCCGAUACUGCCGGACUAGAGGUAGGUAGGGGAGAUCGGAAUUCCUGGUGUAGCGGUGAAAUGCGCAGAUAUCAGGAGGAACACCGGUGGCGAAGGCGGAUCUCUGGGCCUUACCUGACGCUCAGGCGCGAAAGCUAGGGGAGCAAACGGG